This 500-nucleotide ribosomal RNA is filed under the name uncultured bacterium. RNAcentral describes it as "partial 16S ribosomal RNA". It matches the Rfam family "Bacterial small subunit ribosomal RNA", at positions 30 to 523 of the family's 1533-position model. The record is from RNAcentral.
AUUGAACGCUGGCGGAAUGCUUUACACAUGCAAGUCGAACGGCAGCACGGACUUCGGUCUGGUGGCGAGUGGCGAACGGGUGAGUAAUGUAUCGGAACGUGCCCAGUCGUGGGGGAUAACGUAGUGAAAAUUACGCUAAUACCGCAUACGAUCUAUGGAUGAAAGCGGGGGAUCGCAAGGCCUCGCGCGAUUGGAGCGGCCGAUAUCAGAUUAGGUAGUUGGUGGGGUAAAGGCCCACCAAGCCAACGAUCUGUAGCUGGUCUGAGAGGACGACCAGCCACACUGGAACUGAGACACGGUCCAGACUCCUACGGGAGGCAGCAGUGGGGAAUUUUGGACAAUGGGCGGAAGCCUGAUCCAGCCAUUCCGCGUGCAGGAUGGAGGCCCUCGGGUUGUAAACUGCUUUUGUACAGAACGAAAAGGUUUCUACUAAUACUAGGAGCUCAUGACGGUACUGUAAGAAUAAGCACCGGCUAACUACGUGCCAGCCGCCGCCGUAA